Molecule: ribosomal RNA, 526 nt
Filed under: uncultured bacterium
Lineage: Bacteria
Description: bacterial SSU rRNA
Rfam family: Bacterial small subunit ribosomal RNA
Source: RNAcentral
CUGGCGGCAUGCUUUACACAUGCAAGUCGAACGGUAACAGGCCGCAAGGUGCUGACGAGUGGCGAACGGGUGAGUAAUGUAUCGGAACGUGCCCAGUCGUGGGGGAUAACGCAGCGAAAGCUGUGCUAAUACCGCAUACGAUCUAUGGAUGAAAGCGGGGGACCGUAAGGCCUCGCGCGAUUGGAGCGGCCGAUAUCAGAUUAGGUAGUUGGUGGGGUAAAGGCUCACCAAGCCAACGAUCUGUAGCUGGUCUGAGAGGACGACCAGCCACACUGGGACUGAGACACGGCCCAGACUCCUACGGGAGGCAGCAGUGGGGAAUUUUGGACAAUGGGGGCAACCCUGAUCCAGCCAUGCCGCGUGCAGGAUGAAGGCCUUCGGGUUGUAAACUGCUUUUGUACGGAACGAAAAGACUCUGGUUAAUACCUGGGGUCCAUGACGGUACCGUAAGAAUAAGCACCGGCUAACUACGUGCCAGCAGCCGCGGUAAUACGUAGGGUGCAAGCGUUAAUCGGAAUUACUGGGC